AUUGAACGCUGGCGGCAUGCCUAACACAUGCAAGUCGAACGGAGCGGCGGACGGGUGAGUAAUGCCUAGGAAUCUGCCUAGUAGCGGGGGAUAACGUCCGGAAAAGGGCGCUAAUACCGCAUACUAUCAGAUCAGCCUAGGUCGGAUUAGCUAGUGGGUGGGGUAACGGCCUACCAAGGCGACGAUCCGUAACUGGUCUGAGAGGAGUAUCAGCCACACUGGAACUGAGACACGGUCCAGACUCCUACGGGAGGCAGCAGUGGGGAAUAUUGGACAAUGGGCGAAAGCCUGAUCCAGCCAUGCCGCGUGUGGGAAGAAGGUCUUCGGAUUGUAAAGCACUUUUGGUUGGGAAGCGUUACCUACAGAAUAAGCACCGGCUAACUUCGUGCCAGCAGCCGCGGUAAUAC
Molecule: ribosomal RNA, 407 nt
Filed under: uncultured bacterium
Lineage: Bacteria
Description: partial 16S ribosomal RNA
Rfam family: Bacterial small subunit ribosomal RNA
Source: RNAcentral